RNAcentral lists this ribosomal RNA (496 nucleotides) under uncultured bacterium. RNAcentral's name for it is "partial 16S ribosomal RNA". It matches the Rfam family "Bacterial small subunit ribosomal RNA", at positions 28 to 506 of the family's 1533-position model. The record is from RNAcentral.
GAUGAACGCUGGCGGCGUGCCUAAUACAUGCAAGUCGAGCGAACGGACGAGAAGCUUGCUUCUCUGAUGUUAGCGGCGGACGGGUGAGUAACACGUGGAUAACCUACCUAUAAGACUGGGAUAAUUUCGGGAAACCGGAGCUAAUACCGGAUAAUAUUUUGAACCGCAUGGUUCAAAAGUGAAAGACGGUCUUGCUGUCACUUAUAGAUGGAUCCGCGCUGCAUUAGCUAGUUGGUAAGGUAACGGCUUACCAAGGCAACGAUGCAUAGCCGACCUGAGAGGGUGAUCGGCCACACUGGAACUGAGACACGGUCCAGACUCCUACGGGAGGCAGCAGUAGGUAAUCUUCCGCAAUGGGCGAAAGCCUGACGGAGCAACGCCGCGUGAGUGAUGAAGGUCUUCGGAUCGUAAAACUCUGUUAUUAGGGAAGAACAUAUGUGUAAGUAACUGUGCACAUCUUGACGGUACCUAAUCAGAAAGCCACGGCUAACUACGU